GGGGGCCCGCACAAGCGGUGGAGCAUGUGGUUUAAUUCGAUGCAACGCGAAGAACCUUACCUGGUCUUGACAUCCACAGAACUUUCCAGAGAUGGAUUGGUGCCUUCGGGAACUGUGAGACAGGUGCUGCAUGGCUGUCGUCAGCUCGUGUUGUGAAAUGUUGGGUUAAGUCCCGCAACGAGCGCAACCCUUAUCCUUUGUUGCCAGCGGUUAGGCCGGGAACUCAAAGGAGACUGCCAGUGAUAAACUGGAGGAAGGUGGGGAUGACGUCAAGUCAUCAUGGCCCUUACGACCAGGGCUACACACGUGCUACAAUGGCAUAUACAAAGAGAAGCGACCUCGCGAGAGCAAGCGGACCUCAUAAAGUAUGUCGUAGUCCGG
RNAcentral lists this ribosomal RNA (381 nucleotides) under Klebsiella pneumoniae. RNAcentral describes it as "bacterial SSU rRNA". It matches the Rfam family "Bacterial small subunit ribosomal RNA", at positions 915 to 1296 of the family's 1533-position model. Lineage: Bacteria; Pseudomonadati; Pseudomonadota; Gammaproteobacteria; Enterobacterales; Enterobacteriaceae. The record is from RNAcentral.